CUUCAGUGAUGCUCAAAACAACAGUAUUUGAAAAUUUAUAACCUUAUUCAAACGUUACCGAGCUCAUAAAACCCACAAAAGGACUAACAUGAGGUCAAUAUUUCGAUAGAUUUUCUUUUCAAGAUAUAUGAUUUAAUAAGGAUGAAUGACUUUUUGCAUUUUUCUUUCUCUUUGUAUUGACUUGCAUUUCUAAAGGAUUUUUUCUAGGGAAAUAAUUUCAGGAAAAUAAGUUGACUUUCAUUUGUUUUUUUCUUGUGCAAUAAUUUGUUUGCCUUCUGUUUUGUUUGUUUUGUUUUUGCAGCUGAUAUUAAACUGGAAAAGAGAUAGGACCAACAUAAGAACUACAACAAUGGUAAACUGAGUAGCUUGUGCAGUAUCUCUUUCGCCAUGACCAUAUAUUGGAACAUACGAUAAAAGUUGUUUCAAUAUUUAAACGAAUAUAAUUAUUUGUAUAAGCAACACACCGCAUGUCAGUACAAAAGCACAGAUCUCGUACGCACAUGAUGCACUUGCGUGGUACAUGGCAUUUUGACAUGAAGUUCACAAUGUAAACCUUCAUUAGUAUUAUCAUGGUUUCACAAGAAGGACAUGGAACACGAUGUUCUGCAAUGAAUGGAAAGUGUAAAAGAAAAUGUCUAUCAACAGAACUAGGUCGGACUGGACAUGGGUGCUGUCAUCAUAAAAAGUGUUGUAACGAACCUUCAUAUACGCCAUCAUGCCGCGAUAUUUGUCAAACGAAUGGUUGUGGAUGUACACAAUGUGAUUGUGAUUGUCAUGAUAAUUGUAUUGUGACCAAUGGCACUUGUUGUUCAGACUUUUAUCAGAGUGUGGAACUAGUUUUUAAAGCAUGUGAAAGUUGUAUUGUUAAUUGAAGUAACUGUUGCAAAUUUUAGGAAAUAAUUCAAAACUUAAGAAUAUGUCUCCUUCUUCAAAGCUCUGAUUCCUUAUCUAUACUUUUUGUUUUGUUUUGUUUAUAAGCUUUCCAGUGUUUGAACAUGUUUCAAAUUUUCAGAUAUUUUGCUAUGAGUAUCUUUUAAAAGACAUUUGUUGUCAAAAUGCGCAUAUGGUACAGUGAAAUUGGAAACAUUUGUGUUAUUAAUUAACAUCGGCAUAAGCAUGUGCGUCUAGUUUACGCAGUUAAGAGAUUGUAGAUUUCACAUUGUUGGGCUGAUAUUUAAAGUAAUUAUAGAAAGAUAUUUUACUAAUAUCCAGACUUUAUAUGUAUUCAUGGAUCUUCUCUACAUGUUUAUUUGAUCUGAAUAUAUCAAAAAUUAUGAGAAGGGAAAAACUGACAGUUGGUAAAAAAUAAAAGCAAUAAAAGCAAUCAACUUCGCCAUGG
Mytilus californianus (California mussel) is the source of this 1339-nucleotide long non-coding RNA. RefSeq lists it as uncharacterized. NCBI's taxonomy places the organism in Eukaryota, Metazoa, Mollusca, Bivalvia, Mytilida, Mytilidae. The transcript has 4 exons. The record is from RefSeq and is a predicted model, not a curated record.